UUGGAGGGAGAGGAGUGGGAGAAGAAGAAGAGAACGAAGGCUGUGCUAAGCUGUGCUCACCUUUCAGGAGCCUCGGGUGAUUUUUGUUCUCGAUCUGCUCCAACCCCAGGCAUGGAUCCUCCUUGCCCACAGCUCAUUCCAGAGCCUGUUCUGUAUCAUCGAAACUGGCAAAACCGGGGCAGACGAGCCCUUCCAGGAGCACCCAGCUCGAUGAAGCCUGCGAUGCCCGACUUUGAAGAUACAGGAGAGCACAGAGAAGCCGAACCUCUUCCUUGUGUAGAGAGAAGCGGACAUUGGACCCUGGAAUUUGGCAAACGAAGCUUUGAAAGGAGGGGCCGUGAACACCGAGGAGACAGAGAUUACCUACUCUGGGGGAAGCCAUGUUGUGAGCUAAGUUGUAAACAACCCUAGGAAGAGGCCCACCUGGCAAGGGGCUGAAGUGUCUGGUCAACUACAAGCAAAUGAGUGAGCAUGGAAGUGGAUUCUCCAGCUCCAGGUGCUCAGUAAAUGAAUGCCAACCAGACAUCAGGCAUCCUGCUCUGCUGGGGCCACUUGGAGAUGAAUAAAACAUGGUCUUGGUCUUGCCAUGGAUUGGA
Vicugna pacos (alpaca) is the source of this 596-nucleotide non-coding RNA. Lineage: Eukaryota; Metazoa; Chordata; Mammalia; Artiodactyla; Camelidae. The record is from RefSeq and is a predicted model, not a curated record.